Molecule: long non-coding RNA, 3188 nt
Filed under: Medicago truncatula (barrel medic)
Lineage: Eukaryota; Viridiplantae; Streptophyta; Magnoliopsida; Fabales; Fabaceae
Description: lncRNA gene41240
Source: RNAcentral
CACGGGCUCAAGGCAACAUCUUAGUGCUAAAGUUAAUCCCUCAAAUCAGAUGGGAGCAAACCACUCUGUUGUCUAAAUUCUAAAAUGGAAAAUAUCAUGCCGAAAUAACAAGCCAUAUUCACCUGAUCUGACACUAUUGCCCAAUGAUGGUACAUAUUGAAGUCUGACACAAUACCUACAAAGACCUCCUGAAUUUAAAAAAUAAAAAAAUCCAUGAAACAAUUUGCAGGCAAUUGAUGCAAUUAUCAGGAGUGCUUUUACCAAAAAGAGUAAUCUUAAUAAUCUGGUCAAUCAAUUAUCUGUCUAAGCAUACCUGUGUAAUAAACAAAGGAUGCAUAAAAGUUUGAAAUCAUGCCCUGCCAGGGUGGAAAUAAGAAGGGAAAACAACCAAAUGAAGUUACCUUGCAAUCAAUAGUCUUCCUCUGAUAUAGGUUGCAACUCCACCAAGAGCUCCAGAAACAUGGCUCCGUGGUGGAAGGGUUUACGGGUUAGUGCACCACAUACCAGUUUGAAAGCUUCACAAAAUAUAACCUCCUUGGACAACAUUAGGUGAGCAGUUAAAAUUGUACUCAGUAUCAACUGCCAGUUCUUUGAAAAUGAAUGCUUUCAUUCCAUCUAUUUCAAUGCAAAUAUUUGAGGCUGCAAAAAGCAUAACCAUUAGAUCUAUUCUUUUGAUAAUUAUCGCAAAUGAUGCUGUCAGUGUCGGGAUAAUGUUCACAAUGUGGCACAACAGUACUUACUAUUGUAUGUUACAGGUGUGUGUAGUUUUCAAGUGAAAAGCUCAAAUGUAUUAUGGAGUUUCUGCUUGAUUGUUAAAUACAGCCCAAUGAAGUGGAUAGUAUCUCAUCCCAUCAUGCUUAGGAGCAAAGCAACCCUCUACUCCAACAGCUUAUUCAUAUCUGAGACCAAAUGCAACUGUUUCCAGGAACUACCAAAAGUCCUUGCAAGAACAGGAACCAUCUUUAAAAUGGUGAAAUCUAUUGGCAUCUCUUAAAAUGAUCUCCCUACCGGUGACUUUUGCGAUCAGUUUGAUCGCAGAAUGACAAUCACCGCAAACUCGCAAAUUUUUCAUGACUCUAAUUGGCAUCCCUUCGGGCACUUUUAGAAGUCCAUAUGCUACAGCUAGUCUUUCACUAUGAUAACCUAAGCUAUGUGUCUUCUCUUCCUCAUCCACGUCAUGAAGCACAAAGCUACCAUCGGGACAGUAACCAGCUUCCCUUAAAAACCCACUUAGCUUUUCCAACAUUUGUGUGAUCAUAUGCUGCUCAGGGUGGCUCUUGCUGUCUCCCCCGGUGAACAUAUGCACCUUCUUCUCCACCUCAAUCCAACUACAGCCAGGAAAUUUGAUGACUCUCCUAUUUAUCUUUUUCCUAAGUACUUCAACAUCCCUCCAUCUUCCUUUGGUUGCAUACAUAUGUGAGAGCAAGACAUAAGGCCCAGCAUUUUUUGGCUCUAGCUUUGCAAGUUUCUCUACUGCAACUUCAGCCAAAUCCAGCUUCAUAUGGUUUCUGCAAGCACCUAACAAUGCACCCCAAACAAUAGCAUCCGGUUCCAUUGGCAUCUUUUCUACUAGUUCCAUUGCCUCAUCAACCCGGCCUGCUCGACCUAGCAAAUCAACCAUACAAGCAUAGUGUUCAAUUCCUGGUUCCACUUGAUAAGUGCAUUUCAUUGCUUCAAAAAUUUCGAACCCUUCUUUCACUUUGCCACUGUAGCUACAAGCUGAAAGAACUCCAAUGAAGGUAACCUCGUCUGGCUGAACUCCAGACGAGCACAUAUCAUGGAAAACAUUUAAAGCUUCCUCUCCCAACCCAUGUUGGGAAUAACCAGUGAUCAUAGAAUUCCACAUAACAACAUCCUUAAACAGAAAUCUAUUAAAAAUCCCUUUUGCUCUAACAAGAUCACCACACUUAACAUACAUCGUAAUCAACACCGAGGCAACAUAUAAAUCUUGAUCAAAUUCAGAUCUCACCAACCUAGCAUGAACCUGCCUGCCAUGAUCAAGGCUAGCUAAACUGGCACACACAGAAAGAACACUGAUCAUCGAAGGGAAAUUCAACGCAACCCCUUCCCUUUGCAUCCUAGCAAACAAACCCAAAGCUUCCAAGUCCAACCCUUUCCUCUCAAACACCUUAAUCAUAGCAUUCCAAGUUCCCUCAUCCCUUUCCUUCAUUCCCUCAAACAUCAUCCUAGCUCUAUGCAUCUCCCCAGCAAGUCCAAACUGUAAGAUCAUCUCAUUACAAGCAACAAUCCACUUCACCGGCAUCGCUUCAAAAAGCUCAAAAGCCUCCUUCAUCCUCCCACUCUGAGUAUACCCCAUAAGCAUAGCCGUCCAAGACACCUCAUUUCUCUCCGGCAUCACCUCAAAAAGCUUCCUUGCAACAUCAACCCUCCCAUUCUUUGCAUACCCAGAAACCAUAGUAGUCCAAGUAAACACAUUCCUCACCUUCAUUUCAUCAAACAGUUCGCGAGCUUCAUCCAAACGACCCACCUGACAAUACCCACCAAUCAUAUUAGUAACCACCACAACAUCCUUCUCCGGUAUCAUAUCAAACAGUUUCUUCGCAUCAUCAAUACGCGAUUCCUUCAACAACCCACCAAUCAUAACAGUCCACGACACCACAUUCCUACGUGGCAUCUCCCAAAACAGCUUCUCAGCUUCCUCCACCAUACCCUCUUGAACAUAGCCCCUAACCAUCGAAGUCCACGACACCACAUUUCGUUCAGGCAUUACAUCAAACACCUUCCUAGCAUCAGCAACCAUUCCAUUUUUCACAUAACCAGAUAUCAUCCCAUUAAAGGAUACAGUAUUUCUUUGCGGCAUUUGAUCAAACAGAAGAAGGGCAUCACGAGGUUUGUGGGAUUCAAAGUAGGCAGAGACCAUGGCGUUCCAGGAAGCGAUGGUUCUUUGUGGCAAUGGCGUAUUGUCGAACACCUUACGUGCAUUGUGUAUAUCACCGAUGCGACCGUAACGUGAAAUUGCGGAAGUGUUGCUGCAGAGUGAUCUUGCUUGCACCAUGCGACAACGUAGAGUUGCGGCGUAACCAUAACCCAUGUGUGUGUAAUGUUAACCUAUGAGCGCAAAACAUGCACUAGUAUAAUAAACUAGUGUCGCAAUACCAUAGAAUAUAUAUGCUAUGCUUGGUUGAAAAUAUUAAAUUCUAUGCACGGUAAUAAAAAAAGUAUUCCUU